GAUUUAAGGUGUUUCAACUUCGAAAAAGUCUGCUCACAGAUGCAGAUGCUCCCGAAAACGGGUUUCGGCGACGUCUGGUGAACGAAGGUCUGCUUCCCAGCAUCGUCGGCAUUACAGAACACCAGGAUAAGACGGUACCCCGGGCGUCACAAGGACGGUCGGGUUCCAGUGAGUCAACACCACCCGGCGGCCAGAUUGGAACUUCUCCGAUUCUCUUUUGUUUCUCGUUUGGGUUUUUUAAUUAUAU
Long non-coding RNA from Trichomycterus rosablanca, 247 nucleotides. RefSeq lists it as uncharacterized. The transcript has 4 exons. The record is from RefSeq and is a predicted model, not a curated record. NCBI's taxonomy places the organism in Eukaryota, Metazoa, Chordata, Actinopteri, Siluriformes, Trichomycteridae.